UACGUAGGGUGCAAGCGUUACUCGGAAUUACCGGGCGUAAAGCGUGCGUAGGUGGUUUGUUAAGUCAGAUGUGAAAGCCCCGGGCUCAACCUGGGAAUUGCAUUUGAUACUGGCUAACUAGAGUGAGGUAGAGGAGAGUGGAAUUCCCGGUGUAGCAGUGAAAUGCGUAGAGAUCGGGAGGAACAUCAGUUGCGAAGGCGGCUCUCUGGACCAUCACUGACACUGAGGCACGAAAGCGUGGGGAGCAAACAGG
RNAcentral lists this ribosomal RNA (253 nucleotides) under uncultured bacterium. RNAcentral's name for it is "partial 16S ribosomal RNA". It matches the Rfam family "Bacterial small subunit ribosomal RNA", at positions 524 to 776 of the family's 1533-position model. The record is from RNAcentral.